This 513-nucleotide ribosomal RNA is filed under the name Triticum aestivum (bread wheat). RNAcentral's name for it is "partial small subunit ribosomal RNA". Lineage: Eukaryota; Viridiplantae; Streptophyta; Magnoliopsida; Poales; Poaceae. The record is from RNAcentral.
AUGAUAACGGACAAUGCUUUAGUAGCUUUUGAGUGCAUUCACUAUAUAAAGCAAGAGAAAGAUCCCUCGAAGAGCUUUUGUGCUUAUAAGCUAGACCUCUCCAAAGCUUAUUAUAGGGUGGACUGGGUUUUCUUGAAGCAGGUGUUGCAAAAGAUGGGAUUCUCAGACCGAUGGGUAGACUGGAUAAUGUCAUGUGUCACAUCGGUUAGAUACUCUGUUAAGUUAAAUGGAACCCUCUUGGAUUCGUUUGCACCGAUGCAUGGGCUUCAGCAAGGUGACCCGUUAUCACCGUUCUUAUUCUUGUUUGUGGCUGAUGGUCUCUCUUCAAUCUUAAGGCAGCAAGUUAUGGCUAAUGCAAUAACUCCACUCAAAAUCUGUCGGAGAGCUCCGGGCAUCUCACACUUACUCUUCGCAGAUGACACUCUUUUAUUUUUUAAAGCAUCACAGGAACAAGCUUUGGAAGUAAAGAAGGCGUUGGAUCUGUACAAUACAGCCACGGGCCAAAGUCACUAG